UUCUCCCAGCCGCGGUAAUACGGAGGGGGCAACCGUUAUUCGGAUUUUUUGGGGGUAAAGCGCGGGCAGGCGGUCUGUCAAUUAGGAUGUGAAAUCCCCGGGCUCAACCUGGGAACUGCAUUCGAAAAUGCCAGGCUGGAGUCUUGUAGAGGGGGGUAGAAUUCCAGGUGAAGGGGUGAAAUGCUUAGAAAUUUGGAGGAAUACCGGUGGGGAAGGCGGCCCCCUGGACAAAGAUUAACGUUCAUGUGGCAAAGAAUGGGGAGCAACCAGGAUUAGAUACCCUGGUAGUCCACCCGUAAACGAUGAUGACUUGGAGGUUUUCCCUUGAGGAGUCGUCCGGAGCUAACGCGUAAGUCUCCGCUGGA
Molecule: ribosomal RNA, 365 nt
Filed under: uncultured bacterium
Lineage: Bacteria
Description: bacterial SSU rRNA
Rfam family: Bacterial small subunit ribosomal RNA
Source: RNAcentral